Cuculus canorus (common cuckoo) is the source of this 2121-nucleotide non-coding RNA. The record is from the annotation of a RefSeq genome assembly. Lineage: Eukaryota; Metazoa; Chordata; Aves; Cuculiformes; Cuculidae.
CCCUAUUCUUAGAUUAUGAUACACCACUUUGUCACUGUGAACUAUAACCUGAAUUUCGGCAGUGGCACAAAAAUUACAGUAAUGGGGAAGAAUGAUGAAAUCAUACCUCCAGUUGUGGCCAUCUUCUCCCCAUCAAAGCAAGAGAUCCAACAGAAGAGCAAAGCCACACUGGUAUGCCUGGCCUCUGGUUUCUACCCUGACCACCUGAAUCUGGUCUGGAAGGUGAAUGGCGCUAAGAGGACAGAAGGGGUGGGGACAGAUGAGUUUUCCACAUGGAAUGGGAGUACUUACUCAUUGACCAGUCGACUGAGGAUCUCAGCCCAGGAAUGGUUCAACCCUUUGAAUCGUUUUGAAUGUGUUGCCACUUUUUUUAAGAAUGAAACACUGGAAUCGAUACAAAAAUUCAUCUAUGGUGAUGCUGGUUGUGCACUCACGGAAGAGUCCUACUUGCGGUACGGAAAUUCUCUGAAGCUCACUUACCUCAUUCUCUGUGGUAAAGCCUUGCUCUAUGCAGUUUUGGUGAGCAGUCUGGCGUGGACGGCCAAGGCUCGUGGCAAGUUGUAUAGAGAUUAAAUGAAGAGUCUUCUUCACCACUUCAGCAGGAACACAGUAAAUUAUACAUUCUACCUUUCCAUAGCAAAGGAUCUAUGCUUCUGUCCAAGAACUUCUGAAUACUGUUUCUUGGUGGUUCUGUCCCCCUCUUGUUCUUUCCACUUCUUUGUAAUCACUGCUGGGUUUUCCCUGUAAUUCCAUAUUAUACGGUAUUUUAUCGCAUUGUAUUGUGUUGUAUCUUAUCAUAUCUUUAAAACUAACACCUUCUCAAUCCUUAGUAGCUCAGGACCCAGCUCCUUGAAUUAGAAAUAAAGUUUUAGCUUCUUUUCUAUUCACAAAGCAUGAGUUGGUUUUUUAUGUUGUCUUAUGUAGGAAUAAUGUUCUACAACACAACUUCCAGUGAUAUGUAGUAUCAUACGGGACUCACUAUAAAGAACAUUCACUAUCAGUCCCUAGAGGGAUAGCUUACCUGUUAGGAGAAGAGUAGAACAAUCAUCCAGUGCUUACAAGGUGUACCAACCACUGGAGUGGUGCUGCAGGCUUCAGAGCCUUGCACGCUGCAGCAGCAAUGGCUGUGAGAGCAAAAAUAUAGGGCCAGCUAGUAAGCAGGUGGCAUGUCUAGAGCUAGUUUCUGGGAAAUUCAUAGUGUAUGUGGGUCCUUGAGUGUGUGAAGUAACUGGAGGACUGGGGACUACAGGGCCAGUUGUUGAGUAGACUGAGUGUCUAAAGCCAGUUGCUGGGGUCCAGCAUGUGUGUGUGUGUUCACGUGCAAAUAUAUACACAUACAAACGUGUGUGAAGGACUGCAUGAGGGCAUCUGUGAGAAAGGGAGGGUCUAGUCUGUGUGAGUGCUGUGGGUCCAGAGGCCUCAGGGGCUUGCACAUCCAAGUCUUUUAGUGCUAUCUGUGUUUGCAUGAGUGUUUCUGUCUGUCUUGAUUUGUGUGGCUGGCUGUGUGUGUACAUAUAUUUGUAUCGUGUAUGUUUUUGUAUGCCUAUUGGGAAUACAGACUCAGCCUUGCUAGUGGGUGAACCUAAGAAAACUGAGUUGCAGGAGCUUCACCUCUAUUGGGCUGCUCAGUUCAGUAACCCCAAAUGAAACAGCUAGAACUUACCAUUCAGUUGUCAUCUUAAGGUAUUUAGGACAUCAACCAACCCACAUCUACUGCAGAGUACUAUUUAGAUGGACAGUUGUAUAUUUUGUCAGCAGUAGGAAAAACAGACUUCUUAUGUUUCAUUCCAGUGUUGUCAAUAGUUUUUAUGCUACGGCAUAAAAAGGUGGGUCCAAUCUUAGUCUAAGAGAAGAAAAGAAAAAUAGGGGUGGAGAGUAGAAGGGAUGAGCUUGUGGUUUUACAUUUAUAAAUUUACUGGGGAAAGAGGAAGGAAAGAACUAGAAAUCUGCAGUAUUUUAUGUUACUUCCUGCAAUAUCAUGCGCAUUGGCAGCUGGGAAGCAUGAAAGUAUCUACCGAGCAGCACAGUUCCCCCAUUCAUUUAUUAUGAUAUGUAAUCCCCACUGCUGUUACAGAAUGGCCUCACUGUUGCCUUUCUCGUUAUAGAAGCCAAAUACUAAAU